AAGGGUGCUCAGCGCCCGACCUCCAACCCUUUGUUGUUAAAACUACCUUGUUGCUUUGGCGGGACCGCUCGGUCUCGAGCCGCUGGGGAUUCGUCCCAGGCGAGCGCCCGCCAGAGUUAAACCAAACUCUUGUUAUUUAACCGGUCGUCUGAGUUAAAAUUUUGAAUAAAUCAAAACUUUCAACAACGGAUCUCUUGGUUCUCGCAUCGAUGAAGAACGCAGCGAAAUGCGAUAAGUAAUGUGAAUUGCAGAAUUCAGUGAAUCAUCGAAUCUUUGAACGCACAUUGCGCCCCUUGGUAUUCCGAGGGGCAUGCCUGUUCGAGCGUCAUUACACCACUCAAGCUAUGCUUGGUAUUGGGCGUCGUCCUUAGUUGGGCGCGCCUUAAAGACCUCGGCGAGGCCACUCCGGCUUUAGGCGUAGUAGAAUUUAUUCGAACGUCUGUCAAAGGAGAGGAACUCUGCCGACUGAAACCUUUAUUUUUCUAGGUUGACCUCGGAUCAGGUAGGGAUACCCGCUGGACUUAAGCAUAUCAAUAAGCGGGAGGAAAAAGAAACCAACAGGGAUUGCCCUAGUAACGGCGAGUGAAGCGGCAACAGCUCAAAUUUGAAAGCUAGCCUUCGGGUUCGCAUUGUAAUUUGUAGAGGAUGAUUUGGGGGAA
This 659-nucleotide ribosomal RNA is filed under the name Aureobasidium pullulans. RNAcentral describes it as "eukaryotic LSU rRNA". The stretch from base 175 to 328 matches the Rfam family "5.8S ribosomal RNA". The record is from RNAcentral. Lineage: Eukaryota; Fungi; Ascomycota; Dothideomycetes; Dothideales; Saccotheciaceae.